This 484-nucleotide ribosomal RNA is filed under the name uncultured bacterium. RNAcentral's name for it is "partial 16S ribosomal RNA". It matches the Rfam family "Bacterial small subunit ribosomal RNA", at positions 30 to 507 of the family's 1533-position model. The record is from RNAcentral.
AUUGAACGCUGGCGGCAGGCCUAACACAUGCAAGUCGAGCGGAUGAAGGGAGCUUGCUCCUGGAUUCAGCGGCGGACGGGUGAGUAAUGCCUAGGAAUCUGCCUGGUAGUGGGGGAUAACGUCCGGAAACGGGCGCUAAUACCGCAUACGUCCUGAGGGAGAAAGUGGGGAAUCUUCGGACCUCACGCUAUCAGACGAGCCUAGGUCGGAUUAGCUAGUUGGUGGGGUAAAGGCCUACCAAGGCGACGAUCCGUAACUGGUCUGAGAGGAUGAUCAGUCACACUGGAACUGAGACACGGUCCAGACUCCUACGGGAGGCAGCAGUGGGGAAUAUUGGACAAUGGGCGAAAGCCUGAUCCAGCCAUGCCGCGUGUGUGAAGAAGGUCUUCGGAUUGUAAAGCACUUUAAGUUGGGAGGAAGGGCAGUAAGUUAAUACCUUGCUGUUUUGACGUUACCAACAGAAUAAGCACCGGCUAACUUCGUG